Gorilla gorilla gorilla (western lowland gorilla) is the source of this 801-nucleotide long non-coding RNA. RefSeq lists it as uncharacterized. NCBI's taxonomy places the organism in Eukaryota, Metazoa, Chordata, Mammalia, Primates, Hominidae. The transcript is spliced from 7 exons. The record is from RefSeq and is a predicted model, not a curated record.
UUGUAUGUAAGCUCUGUACAAUUCUCUCUUGUUGAGUGUGGGCAAAAGCUCACACUCAGUCCCAGGAUUAAGUUACUAAUCACUUGAUGUUGUCUUAAUUGAAAGGCAGAUUACCCAGCACCACGGCCAAACCACAGCUCUGAGUGGGGAACCACAUUUGAACAGACUAGUCCCUUCUGCCUUCUGGGCAGGUCACAUCUGAAAGAUUAUCCUCUUUGAAUCAGUUUGAAUGUUCUAGUGACCAGGCCACACAGUUUCUCUUGACAUUUAAAAAUAAAGCUUCCAGUCUUGUCACUAAUGGAUUUGGGGCCCAGUACCCUUAAAAUCACCUCAGAGCUGCCUGAAUCCACAGACUACUUGCAGAAUCACUGGUUUUACUUGAAUCAAGCCAUCUGAGAAGUUUGGCUGAAAUAAAAACUCAAAGCCCCCACAAUAUUGAACCACCAUUCCAGACCCAGCCAAGGUUUGGAACAUAAAGUGAGCUGAAUGAAUCAGCCUGCAGGCAACCCAGAGAAAGUAAUUGUUCAUCCUAGCAGCACGGCUGCUUUUCUGCUUAGCAUCUGAACAAGUUAAUUUGGAAACACAGCCUUCUGGAAAGAAAUGGCGCUUCUCUCAGCAUCCCAUGGAUUCAUGAGCAGCUCCUUGAAUGCAAAUAUUGCCUAAUAUUUUCAUGGUAUUCACAGAUUUGGGAAGUGACGAUGGAUUCAAAUACAGGACAUCCUAUCUGCAUUCCUAAACAUAGAAGACAAGGUGUUGGAUCAGCUUGCCCCACAUAAAAGAGAUUAUGAAUCCAAAUUAGAG